AACGAACGCUGGCGGCAGGCCUAACACAUGCAAGUCGAACGCCGUAGCAAUACGGAGUGGCAGACGGGUGAGUAACGCGUGGGAACAUACCCUCCGGUUCGGAAUAACUCAGGGAAACUUGAGCUAAUACCGGAUACGUCCAAGGUUUUAAUCGGCCUUGGAGAAAGAUUUAUCGCUGGAGGAUUGGCCCGCGUCUGAUUAGCUUGUUGGUGAGGUAAUGGCUCACCAAGGCGACGAUCAGUAGCUGGUCUGAGAGGAUGAUCAGCCACAUUGGGACUGAGACACGGCCCAAACUCCUACGGGAGGCAGCAGUGGGGAAUAUUGGACAAUGGGCGAAAGCCUGAUCCAGCCAUGCCGCGUGAGUGAUGAAGGCCUUAGGGUUGUAAAGCUCUUUUACCCGGG
Molecule: ribosomal RNA, 402 nt
Filed under: uncultured bacterium
Lineage: Bacteria
Description: bacterial SSU rRNA
Rfam family: Bacterial small subunit ribosomal RNA
Source: RNAcentral